This is a long non-coding RNA of Anguilla rostrata (American eel), 1644 nucleotides long. RefSeq lists it as uncharacterized. The record is from RefSeq and is a predicted model, not a curated record. The transcript is spliced from 3 exons. Lineage: Eukaryota; Metazoa; Chordata; Actinopteri; Anguilliformes; Anguillidae.
UAGAAAAGAGGGGAAAAAACAGUUAAUGUUUGUGCCAGCCUCAUAAAAGGCCAAAACCACAGCAAAACUAUGGCAUGUCAGUUAACGGCAAAGCUGAAACCUGAUUUUGAGCGCACAAAGGUGGUGUCCUUUUUCUGAAGGCGUCUCCAUUCCUUUGAGAGGAAACUUAAUUUGAAUUCUUAGAAGUGAUUUGUGGUGUUGCGUCACUGCGAUUUUGUGUUGUUAACUUAGUUUGUUUCCAGUUCUUUUGUGUGUGUGUGUAGAGCAAAAGUGAUUUAUUCACUUGUAUGCCAGUGGUAUAUCGGGUGCACAGCUAGUGAAUUGAGAGCACAGGCACAGACACAGGCAAGCACGUGAUGUGCCUCAGCACAGAUAAAAAUAAGAUAUCCCCAGGCAUCUUUGCUCCAGAGCACAACAGAAGAAGUGUCACGGCAAUGAAGACUGCUUAUCGAUCAAAUGAAACAAGCCAAAAGAAAACAAGCUGUGUUUCUGCAACAAAUAAGCUUACGUAUUUUGUAUGCUCAUUACCAAUCAAAGAUCCAAAGCAAAACUUCAAUUGGAACAUGAUGUUAUGGUCAAAUGAGACCAAAACCAGUCACACACACCAGAAGUGUCGUCAGCAUCAGAAGAUGGACACUUAAAUAGAGAAUGACUUCUACUAAACCUACAGUUACUGUAAGUCUUACAUUCAAUUCCCAGUUGUAUAAAAGAGUCGUUAGUCAUUGUAAAAUGAAAAAUUGUAUCAAUUUUUCAAUAGAUAAAGGCUCCAAAGAAGUACAUGCCAUGUGAUGUACAAUGCAAAAGCAAUGGAAAUACUGGAUUUAAUGUAGUAGGGCAGAUUUGUAAGUCUGCAUUUUUUUCCUGAACACUAGUUGAACAGCAAGAUUGAUUGAAGAAGCAGUUACUAUUUUCCUGCAAAAACAUCUUUCACCACAUUAUGAAAGGGCUUAGUCAACAAUGUAUAUUAGCAUUCAUUUCAAGGACAUAUUUUCAUUUGGUAAAAAGGACAAAAAGGAGUUUUCUUCACACAAUCUGUCCACUGUGCUUUGAAUUCCACAUUCAAUGGGAGGCCUCCCACUUACUGCAGAUGCACAAUGACAGGCAUUCUCUGGCUUAUAGGUAAGAGUCUUCACACCCCAAAUGAGAGCUCUGCUGGUUAAAAAAAGCAUUUGUCACUUUACAGACGGUAGCAACAGGACUGAAGGAUCAUUUACGUCAUUCAGAGAGGCGACCUGUGGCUAAGUAAUAAAGCCAUGAUUUCCAUGAUGUAAACAUGAGCUCAGGUCACAGCUUGUCGCAGGACGCAUUCCAGGGAGGGCAAAGGUCACGUGGGCGGGACCGGUCGCUGCCAAAUGAAGGCAUGUUACUGCGGAAGCGGAGACUCCCUCCCACCGAAGAACCAUCUGUCAAUUACCAUGAGCCAUUAACUCAUUUGCAAAUCAAUAAUCCAGGACCAGUGUGUCAAAAUAAAAUCACAACGAAGACCAAGGAUUCAAUUUUUAGCUCAUGGCUCUCCCUUCCUUGUGCACUCCCCCCCCGCCCCUGGCGCUUUCCCGCCUGUAAUCUCUGGGUGUGCAAUUAAAUAAGGCAAUGCGUGUACAAUAUAGUGAAAUGUAAAAAUAAAUGAAAACCAUACAAUGUAAA